Molecule: long non-coding RNA, 1040 nt
Organism: Miniopterus natalensis
Lineage: Eukaryota; Metazoa; Chordata; Mammalia; Chiroptera; Miniopteridae
Source: RefSeq, a predicted model, not a curated record
UGGGAAAUUUCGUAAACCUCGCGAGAACGCGCCCGCCGUUGCCUAUGCUUUCUCCCCAAAUCUCGCGGAGCCCAAGCGAGACAGGUUAAUAAAUAGUACAGAAGAUUGAAAGAGUGGCAAGAAGGAUUUCAUCAGACUGUGCAAUUCUGUGAGGAAAAUAAGCUCUAACUCUAGGAUUACAAGAAAUGAAGAGAACACUGAAAAUGAAUCAUGGAAGGGGCUUCAGGAGAACUUGAAAAAUAAAAGCCCAAGUCAAGCUUUGCUUAACUUGCUAACAUAUGCAGCAGUUCAAGAAGGUGAAACAAGAAAAGGCACGGGCCGUUUACUCCAGUGACGUGGAACGAGAAUAGAAUCAAAUGCACAUUUCAUGAGAAGAAUGUGUACAAAUCUAAUAAUUUGUCAGAAGUUUUCAUAGCUAACGUAAUUGGAAGAAAAUGUUACCAUGUGUGAUUGAUAUAUCUUGUUCUUUAUAUGUCAUGAGCAAGAUAAAGCCAGUUAACCCUGACUAUACAAAAAAUGACAACACCAUAUGAAUCAUAAAAUUCCAGUGAUCUGUUUGUAAAGGACUAUAUCUAAACUUUGAUUUCCUAAACUUUCCCUUUUGCCAUGUAUCAUAGAUUGUAGUGGUCUGAGUUUCUGUGUUGAGGCAAUGUUGCACACCCAUAGUUAAAAAAACACACAGCUGGGGUAUGAAGGAAAGAGCACUGGACUGCCUCAACCACUGAGUCCUUCCUUCUCCACUGGCCAGCUGCCUACCUUUGGGCUAGCUAAGUUUUCCUUGUCUGCAAAAUGGGAAACGUAUUGCUUAGGGUCAUUUUGAGAAUUAGCUGAGAUAUUCCAUGAAAUUGCUGGGUACACAGUAGGUGCUCAGUAAAUGUUACUUCUUUAGGAUAUACUCCCACUCACACCCAAUGCUCGGUAUUGUUUUCUAUUUGACGGACUAAUGCUACCUGCCUUACAGAUUUGUUGCACAGGUCAAGUUAGAUAAUUAUGGAAAUAAUUAAAUAGAACUGUCUUCAAAUAAAUUAAUUGUAUUUAUU